AGAGUUUGAUCCUGGCUCAGAACGAACGCUGGCGGCGUGCCUAACACAUGCAAGUCGCACGAGAAAUCCUGGGCAACCGGGAAAGUAUAGUGGCGCACGGGUGAGUAACGCGUGGGUAACCUGCCCUUGAGUUGGGGAUAACCCCGCGAAAGCGGGGCUAAUACCGAAUAAUAUGUCAGUUCCCAUGGGGAUUGAUAUCAAAGAUGGCCUCUGCAUGCAAGCUAUUGCUUAAGGAUGGGCCCGCGUACCAUUAGCUAGUUGGUGGGGUAAUAGCCUACCAAGGCAACGAUGGUUAGCUGGUCUGAGAGGAUGGCCAGCCACACUGGAACUGAGACACGGUCCAGACUCCUACGGGAGGCAGCAGUGGGGAAUCUUGCGCAAUGGGGGAAACCCUGACGCAGCAACGCCGCGUGGGUGAUGAAGGCCUUCGGGUCGUAAAGCCCUGUCAGGUGGGAAGAAACAUGCUGAUGCUAAUAACAUCAACAUUUGACGGUACUACCGGAGGAAGCACCGGCUAACUCCGUGCCAGCAGCCGCGGUAAUACGGAGGGUGCAAGCGUUGUUCGGAAUUAUUGGGCGUAAAGCGCGUGCAGGCGGUCGAGUAAGUCAGAUGUGAAAGCCUUCCGCUCAACGGAAGAAGUGCAUUUGAGACUGCUCGGCUAGAGU
This 665-nucleotide ribosomal RNA is filed under the name uncultured bacterium. RNAcentral's name for it is "bacterial SSU rRNA". It matches the Rfam family "Bacterial small subunit ribosomal RNA", at positions 8 to 647 of the family's 1533-position model. The record is from RNAcentral.